Molecule: non-coding RNA, 140 nt
Organism: Neodidymelliopsis sp. IMI 364377
Lineage: Eukaryota; Fungi; Ascomycota; Dothideomycetes; Pleosporales; Didymellaceae
Source: the annotation of a GenBank genome assembly
UCCGUUAUGGUCUAGGUAAGCUCAACCACCACAACCUCCUCAAAAACAAUCACUAACAUCCUCCAAGUGGCUAGGAUUUGUCGCUCUCAUCUGUUCGCAGCAGUGCCGACAAGGCCGGGGUUCAAUUCCCCGUGACGGAA